AUUGAACGCUGGCGGCAGGCUUAACACAUGCAAGUCGAGCGGGGGAAGGUAGCUUGCUACCGGACCUAGCGGCGGACGGGUGAGUAAUGCUUAGGAAUCUGCCUAUUAGUGGGGGACAACAUCUCGAAAGGGAUGCUAAUACCGCAUACGUCCUACGGGAGAAAGCAGGGGAUCUUCGGACCUUGCGCUAAUAGAUGAGCCUAAGUCGGAUUAGCUAGUUGGUGGGGUAAAGGCCUACCAAGGCGACGAUCUGUAGCGGGUCUGAGAGGAUGAUCCGCCACACUGGGACUGAGACACGGCCCAGACUCCUACGGGAGGCAGCAGUGGGGAAUAUUGGACAAUGGGGGGAACCCUGAUCCAGCCAUGCCGCGUGUGUGAAGAAGGCCUUAUGGUUGUAAAGCACUUUAAGCGAGGAGGAGGCUACUUUAGUUAAUACCUAGAGAUAGUGGACGUUACUCGCAGAAUAAGCACCGGCUAACUCUGUGCCAGCAGCCGCGGUAAUACAGAGGGUGCGAGCGUUAAUCGGAUUUACUGGGCGUAAAGCGUGCGUAGGCGGCUUAUUAAGUCGGAUGUGAAUCCCCGAGCUUAACUUGGGAAUUGCAUUCGAUACUGGUGAGCUAGAGUAUGGGAGAG
RNAcentral lists this ribosomal RNA (633 nucleotides) under Acinetobacter baumannii OIFC083. RNAcentral's name for it is "bacterial SSU rRNA". It matches the Rfam family "Bacterial small subunit ribosomal RNA", at positions 28 to 656 of the family's 1533-position model. Lineage: Bacteria; Pseudomonadati; Pseudomonadota; Gammaproteobacteria; Moraxellales; Moraxellaceae. The record is from RNAcentral.